Aricia agestis (brown argus) is the source of this 289-nucleotide long non-coding RNA. RefSeq lists it as uncharacterized. The record is from RefSeq and is a predicted model, not a curated record. The transcript is spliced from 3 exons. Lineage: Eukaryota; Metazoa; Arthropoda; Insecta; Lepidoptera; Lycaenidae.
UCUGUCAGCCACUCGCACCUAAUGGUGUUAGGUACUAUGCAUGUUCCCUGCACCUCUACUCUCUGUCUACUCUGCGGUCCGGACCGAGCUGGCGCCACUGCUGUCGCGACGUCUGUCUCCGCCUCUCCCUCGUUAUACAACAGCCUCAUGGCCUCUGAAAAUACUUGAAUAAAACACUUACCUAACAUGCGAUCUAUUAUUAUGCUGCCUCCGUCACACUGGGUAAAUCCCGUUUCGAUUUUUUACGUACUUAUGUUAAUGUGUUUUAUAAGGGGUUGUAGCUCACAAG